AGAGUUUGAUCCUGGCUCAGGACGAACGCUGGCGGCGUGCUUAACACAUGCAAGUCGAACGGUAAGGCCCUUCGGGGUACACGAGUGGCGAACGGGUGAGUAACGCGUGAGUAACCUGCCCUUCACUCUGGGAUAACAGUUGGAAACGGCUGCUAAUACCGGAUAUUCAGCUCCUGUCGCAUGGUGGGGGUUGGAAAGUUUUGGUGGUGGAGGAUGGGCUCGCGUCCUAUCAGCUUGUUGGUGGGGUGAUGGCCUACCAAGGCGUCGACGGGUAGCCGGCCUGAGAGGGCGACCGGCCACAUUGGGACUGAGAUACGGCCCAAACUCCUACGGGAGGCAGCAGUGGGGAAUAUUGCACAAUGGGCGAAAGCCUGAUGCAGCAACGCCGCGUGAGCGAUGAAGGCCUUUGGGUCGUAAAGCUCUGUCCUUGGGGAAGAAACAAAUGACGGUACCCUUGGAGGAAGCCCCGGCUAACUACGUGCCAGCAGCCGCGGUAAUA
RNAcentral lists this ribosomal RNA (499 nucleotides) under uncultured bacterium. RNAcentral's name for it is "bacterial SSU rRNA". It matches the Rfam family "Bacterial small subunit ribosomal RNA", at positions 8 to 525 of the family's 1533-position model. The record is from RNAcentral.